UACGAAGGGGGCUAGCGUUGUUCGGAAUCACUGGGCGUAAAGGGCGCGUAGGCGGCUUGAUAAGUCGGGGGUGAAAGCCUGUGGCUCAACCACAGAAUUGCCUUCGAUACUGUCGAGCUUGAGACCGGAAGAGGUAAGUGGAACUGCGAGUGUAGAGGUGAAAUUCGUAGAUAUUCGCAAGAACACCAGUGGCGAAGGCGGCUUACUGGUCCGGUUCUGACGCUGAGGCGCGAAAGCUAGGGGAGCAAACGGG
RNAcentral lists this ribosomal RNA (253 nucleotides) under uncultured bacterium. Its description in RNAcentral is "partial 16S ribosomal RNA". It matches the Rfam family "Bacterial small subunit ribosomal RNA", at positions 524 to 776 of the family's 1533-position model. The record is from RNAcentral.